RNAcentral lists this unclassified non-coding RNA (331 nucleotides) under soil metagenome. Its description in RNAcentral is "partial contains 5.8S ribosomal RNA, internal transcribed spacer 2, and large subunit ribosomal RNA". The stretch from base 1 to 120 matches the Rfam family "5.8S ribosomal RNA", at positions 35 to 154 of the family's 154-position model. The record is from RNAcentral.
GAUGAAGAACGCAGCGAAAUGCGAUAAGUAAUGUGAAUUGCAGAAUUCAGUGAAUCAUCGAAUCUUUGAACGCACAUUGCGCCCCCUGGUAUUCCGGUGGGCAUGCCUGUUCGAGCGUCAUUUCACCACUCAAGCCUCGCUUGGUAUUGGGCAACGCGGUCCGCCGCGUGUCUCAAAUCGACCGGCUGGGUCUUCUGUCCCCUAAGCGUUGUGGAAACUAUUCGCUAAAGGGUGUUCGGGAGGCUACGCCGUAAAACAACCCCAUUUCUAAGGUUGACCUCGGAUCAGGUAGGGAUACCCGCUGAACUUAAGCAUAUCAAUAAGCGGAGGA